AUAGAAGUGAGCAUGCAGGCAUGAGUAGCGAUAAUUAAUGUGAGAAUCAUUAACGCCGUAAACCCAAGGUUUCCUACGCGAUGCUCGUCAUCGUAGGGUUAGUCGGGUCCUAAGUCGAGUCCGAAAGGGGUAGACGAUGGCAAAUUGGUUAAUAUUCCAAUACCAACAUUAGUGUGCGAUGGAAGGACGCUUAGGGCUAAGGGGGCUAGCGGAUGGAAGUGCUAGUCUAAGGUCGUAGGAGGUUAUACAGGCAAAUCCGUAUAACAAUACUCCGAGAACUGAAAGGCUUUUUGAAGUCUUCGGAUGGAUAGAAGAACCCCUGAUGCCGUCGAGCCAAGAAAAGUUUCUAAGUUUAGCUAAUGUUGCCCGUACCGUAAACCGACACAGGUGGGUGGGAUGAGUAUUCUAAGGCGCGUGGAAGAACUCUCUUUAAGGAACUCUGCAAAAUAGCACCGUAUCUUCGGUAUAAGGUGUGGUUAGCUUUGUAUUAGGAUUUACUCCGAAAGCAAGGAAACUUACAACAAAGAGUCCCUCCCGACUGUUUACCAAAAACACAGCACUCUGCUAACUCGUAAGAGGAUGUAUAGGGUGUGACGCCUGCCCGGUGCUCGAAGGUUAAUUGAUGGGGUUAGCAUUAGCGAAGCUCUUGAUCGAAGCCCGAGUAAACGGCGGCCGUAACUAUAACGGUCCUAAGGUAGCGAAAUUCCUUGUCGGUUAAAUACCGACCUGCAUGAAUGGCGUAACGAGAUGGGAGCUGUCUCAAAGAGGGAUCCAGUGAAAUUGUAGUGGAGGUGAAAAUUCCUCCUACCCGCGGCAAGACGGAAAGACCCCGUGGACCUUUACUACAGCUUGACACUGCUACUUGGAUAAGAAUGUGCAGGAUAGGUGGGAGGCUUUGAGUAUAUGACGCCAGUUGUAUAUGAGCCAUUGUUGAGAUACCACUCUUUCUUAUUUGGGUAGCUAACCAGCUUGAGUUAUCCUCAAGUGGGACAAUGUCUGGUGGGUAGUUUGACUGGGGCGGUCGCCUCCCAAAUAAUAACGGAGGCUUACAAAGGUUGGCUCAGAACGGUUGGAAAUCGUUCGUAGAGUAUAAAGGUAUAAGCCAGCUUAACUGCAAGACAUACAAGUCAAGCAGAGACGAAAGUCGGUCUUAGUGAUCCGGUGGUUCUGUGUGGAAGGGCCAUCGCUCAAAGGAUAAAAGGUACCCCGGGGAUAACAGGCUGAUCUCCCCCAAGAGCUCACAUCGACGGGGAGGUUUGGCACCUCGAUGUCGGCUCAUCGCAUCCUGGGGCUGGAGCAGGUCCCAAGGGUAUGGCUGUUCGCCAUUUAAAGCGGUACGCGAGCUGGGUUCAGAACGUCGUGAGACAGUUCGGUCCCUAUCUGCCGUGGGCGUAAGAAGAUUGAAGAGAUUUGACCCUAGUACGAGAGGACCGGGUUGAACAAACCACUGGUGUAGCUGUUGUUCUGCCAAGAGCAUCGCAGCGUAGCUAAGUUUGGAAAGGAUAAACGCUGAAAGCAUCUAAGCGUGAAGCCAACUCUAAGAUGAAUCUUCUCUAAGCUCUCUAGAAGACUACUAGUUUGAUAGGCUGGGUGUGUAAUGGAUGAAAGUCCUUUAGCUGACCAGUACUAAUAGAGCGUUUGGCUUAUCUUUAAUAAAGCAU
RNAcentral lists this ribosomal RNA (1661 nucleotides) under Campylobacter jejuni. RNAcentral's name for it is "partial 23S ribosomal RNA". It matches the Rfam family "Bacterial large subunit ribosomal RNA", at positions 1282 to 2925 of the family's 2925-position model. The record is from RNAcentral. Lineage: Bacteria; Pseudomonadati; Campylobacterota; Epsilonproteobacteria; Campylobacterales; Campylobacteraceae.